This 492-nucleotide ribosomal RNA is filed under the name uncultured bacterium. Its description in RNAcentral is "partial 16S ribosomal RNA". It matches the Rfam family "Bacterial small subunit ribosomal RNA", at positions 29 to 507 of the family's 1533-position model. The record is from RNAcentral.
AGUGAACGCUGGCGGUAGGCCUAACACAUGCAAGUCGAACGGCAGCACAGUAAGAGCUUGCUCUUACGGGUGGCGAGUGGCGGACGGGUGAGGAAUACAUCGGAAUCUACUUUUUCGUGGGGGAUAACGUAGGGAAACUUACGCUAAUACCGCAUACGACCUACGGGUGACAGCAGGGGAUCUUCGGACCUUGCGCGAUUGAAUGAGCCGAUGUCGGAUUAGCUAGUUGGCGGGGUAAAGGCCCACCAAGGCGACGAUCCGUAGCUGGUCUGAGAGGAUGAGCAGCCACACUGGAACUGAGACACGGUCCAGACUCCUACGGGAGGCAGCAGUGGGGAAUAUUGGACAAUGGGCGCAAGCCUGAUCCAGCCAUACCGCGUGGGUGAAGAAGGCCUUCGGGUUGUAAAGCCCUUUUGUUGGGAAAGAAAAGCAGCAGGUUAAUACCCCGCUGUUCUGACGGUACCCAAAGAAUAAGCACCGGCUAACUUCGUG